GACGAACGCUGGCGGCGUGCUUAACACAUGCAAGUCGAGCGGUAAGGCCCUUUCGGGGUACGACGAGCGGCGAACGGGUAGGAGUAACAACGUGGGUGGACCUCGCCCUUACGUCUCUGGGAGUAAAGACCUCGGGAAACGUAGGGUCGUAAUACCGGAUAUGACUCCAUAACGCAUGUUGUGGGGUGGAAAGACCUUGUGCGGCUAGGGAGUGGCCCGGCGGCCUAUCAGCUUGUUGGUGGGGUGAUGGCC
RNAcentral lists this ribosomal RNA (252 nucleotides) under uncultured bacterium. Its description in RNAcentral is "partial 16S ribosomal RNA". It matches the Rfam family "Bacterial small subunit ribosomal RNA", at positions 28 to 265 of the family's 1533-position model. The record is from RNAcentral.